Molecule: ribosomal RNA, 253 nt
Filed under: uncultured bacterium
Lineage: Bacteria
Description: partial 16S ribosomal RNA
Rfam family: Bacterial small subunit ribosomal RNA
Source: RNAcentral
UACGAAGGGGGCUAGCGUUGUUCGGAAUUACUGGGCGUAAAGAGCGCGCAGGCGGCCAUUUAAGUUAGAUGUGAAAGCCCCGGGCUUAACCUGGGAACUGCAUUUAAUACUGAAAGGCUAGAGUGUGAUAGGGAGAGGCGGAAUGGCGAGUGGAGCAGUGAAAUGCGUUGAUAUUCGUUGGAACACCGGAGGCGAAGGCGGCCUCUUGGAUCACUACUGACGCUGAGGCGCGAAAGCGUGGGGAGCAAACAGG